UUGACGGGGGCCCGCACAAGCGUGGAGCAUGUGGUUUAAUUCGAAGCAACGCGAAGAACCUUACCAGGUCUUGACAUCCCGAUGCUAUUUCUAGAGAUAGAAAGUUACUUCGGUACAUCGGUGACAGGUGGUGCAUGGUUGUCGUCAGCUCGUGUCGUGAGAUGUUGGGUUAAGUCCCGCAACGAGCGCAACCCCUAUUGUUAGUUGCCAUCAUUCAGUUGGGCACUCUAGCGAGACUGCCGGUAAUAAACCGGAGGAAGGUGGGGAUGACGUCAAAUCAUCAUGCCCCUUAUGACCUGGGCUACACACGUGCUACAAUGGUUGGUACAACGAGUUGCGAGUCGGUGACGGCGAGCUAAUCUCUUAAAGCCAAUCUCAGUUCGGAUUGUAGGCUGCAACUCGCCUACAUGAAGUCGGAAUCGCUAGUAAUCGCGGAUCAGCACGCCGCGGUGAAUACGUUCCCGGGCCUU
RNAcentral lists this ribosomal RNA (470 nucleotides) under uncultured Streptococcus sp. Its description in RNAcentral is "bacterial SSU rRNA". It matches the Rfam family "Bacterial small subunit ribosomal RNA", at positions 910 to 1382 of the family's 1533-position model. Lineage: Bacteria; Bacillati; Bacillota; Bacilli; Lactobacillales; Streptococcaceae. The record is from RNAcentral.